UAUCUCUGUAGAGUCUGCAUAUCAAUAAGCGGAGGAAAAGAAACUAACUAGGAUUCCCUCAGUAACGGCGAGUGAAGCGGGAAGAGCUCAAAUUUGAAAUCUUCAAGGUUCUACCUUGACGAAUUGUAGUUUAAAGAAGUGUUUUCUGUUGGAGUUUUGGUAAAAGUUCUUUGGAAUAGGACAUCAUAGAGGGUGAGAAUCCCGUAUUUGACCAUUAUUUCCAGCUUUGUGAUACACUUUCAAAGAGUCGGAUUGUUUGGGAAUGCAGUCCAAAAUGGGUGGUAAAUUUCAUCUAAAGCUAAAUAUUGGCGAGAGACCGAUAGCGAACAAGUACCGUGAGGGAAAGAUGAAAAGAACUUUGAAAAGAGAGUUAAACAGUACGUGAAAUUGUCAAAAGGGAAGCGUUUGACACCAGUGUUGUUUUCUCGAAAAUCAAUUAAAAAAAGUUGGAUUUUGUAUUGUUAAGACCUUAUCAGCUUACUGUACUCUUUUCUUGCUUUUUUUAAUGCACUUUUCGUUUAACAAGUCAACAUCAAUUUCUUUUGUUGUAAAAGAGUCAUUGGAAGGUGGCUUUCACUUCGGUGAAAGUGUUUAUAGGCCUUUGGCUUCUGCAAUCGGAGAGAUUGAGGUCUGCAGCGUAGAUCCUUCGGGGCUAGAUACGUAGAUGCUAAGUUAUAGUUUUUUAUAGACAACUUGUUGACUAUAAUUAAUCAUGUAGCUUACUCGUUUGCGCUAUUUUACCUACGCUUAGGAUGUUGACGAUCAGCUGAGCGC
Molecule: ribosomal RNA, 774 nt
Filed under: uncultured Neocallimastigales
Lineage: Eukaryota; Fungi; Neocallimastigomycota; Neocallimastigomycetes; Neocallimastigales
Description: partial large subunit ribosomal RNA
Rfam family: Eukaryotic large subunit ribosomal RNA
Source: RNAcentral